Manduca sexta (tobacco hornworm) is the source of this 436-nucleotide long non-coding RNA. RefSeq lists it as uncharacterized. NCBI's taxonomy places the organism in Eukaryota, Metazoa, Arthropoda, Insecta, Lepidoptera, Sphingidae. The record is from RefSeq and is a predicted model, not a curated record. The transcript has 2 exons.
AUAUCGAUAGGUAUUGGAUAUCGACAUCCCUAAACAGAAUUUAUAUUGAAUUUCUUUGAAAUUUGUUGUAGUUUUAAUUUAUUAGGUUUCGUUUUAAAUAUCAGUUGAUUACCUUUGAUACUAGAUUCAUGAGAUUAACCAGAUUCAUUUCACGAAAAGAAGUGUAAUAGUGUCAUGUUAGCCAAAAUGAGCCAAAGAUAUUAACGUUAGGAAAACUAGCAAAUUUUUGAAGACAUUGACGUGAUGUCAUAAUUAAAUAAUGAAAUAAAAGCAAAUAUAAAGGCUAAAAAAUAGUGAAAUGUUAUGAAAAUAAAUAAUAAUACGAAGUUAUUGAAAUUUAAAGUAUUACAGUAGGUAAGAAAUUUAUUAGCAAAAUGACAGAAUGGAAGCAUUUGAUAACAGAAUGGUUGAAUGAAUAUGCUUCACUACAAGAGAA